Peromyscus eremicus (cactus mouse) is the source of this 346-nucleotide long non-coding RNA. RefSeq lists it as uncharacterized. The transcript is spliced from 3 exons. The record is from RefSeq and is a predicted model, not a curated record. Lineage: Eukaryota; Metazoa; Chordata; Mammalia; Rodentia; Cricetidae.
ACAGGAAGUGAGGUGCAUAGCAACCACGAGCCAAAAAGCAGAAAAGCGCAUACCUUUAGCUUGGAAUGAAAAUCACGAGAUUUCCUUCUGGCAAGAACCUGAAUGUGACUAGACACCUGCAGGGGUCCUCACUGCAGUGACUUGAUUCAGAAGUUUGGGCAGGCUCACCUCCCACGUUCCCACCUGAAGAGACCACAGAGAUGCACACUUUUCCAGACCUGAGCCCUGCUAUCCAACACUGCCACCAGUGCGGCCACCACUCGCUCCUUCCUUCUUCAUGCCCCACCCACCUGCCACAGAAAGAGGGACCUAGUCCAAAAAGAGAGCUAAUCUCAACAUUAACCCA